Molecule: ribosomal RNA, 902 nt
Filed under: uncultured bacterium
Lineage: Bacteria
Description: bacterial SSU rRNA
Rfam family: Bacterial small subunit ribosomal RNA
Source: RNAcentral
ACGCUGGCGGCGUGCCUAAUACAUGCAAGUAGAACGCUGAAGGGAGAGCUUGCUUCUCCGGAUGAGUUGCGAACGGGUGAGUAACGCGUAGGUAACCUGCCUGGUAGCGGGGGAUAACUAUUGGAAACGAUAGCUAAUACCGCAUAAUAGUAGAUGUUGCAUGACAUUUGCUUGAAAGGUGCAAUUGCAUCACUACCAGAUGGACCUGCGUUGUAUUAGCUAGUUGGUGGGGUAACGGCUCACCAAGGCGACGAUACAUAGCCGACCUGAGAGGGUGAUCGGCCACACUGGGACUGAGACACGGCCCAGACUCCUACGGGAGGCAGCAGUAGGGAAUCUUCGGCAAUGGACGGAAGUCUGACCGAGCAACGCCGCGUGAGUGAAGAAGGUUUUCGGAUCGUAAAGCUCUGUUGUAAGAGAAGAACGAGUGUGAGAGUGGAAAGUUCACACUGUGACGGUAUCUUACCAGAAAGGGACGGCUAACUACGUGCCAGCAGCCGCGGUAAUACGUAGGUCCCGAGCGUUGUCCGGAUUUAUUGGGCGUAAAGCGAGCGCAGGCGGUUAGAUAAGUCUGAAGUUAAAGGCUGUGGCUUAACCAUAGUACGCUUUGGAAACUGUUUAACUUGAGUGCAAGAGGGGAGAGUGGAAUUCAUGUGUAGCGGUGAAAUGCGUAGAUAUAUGGAGGAACACCGGUGGCGAAAGCGGCUCUCUGGCUUGUAACUGACGCUGAGGCUCGAAAGCGUGGGGAGCAAACAGGUUUAGAUACCCUGGUAGUCCACGCCGUAAACGAUGAGUGCUAGGUGUUAGACCCUUUCCGGGGUUUAGUGCCGCAGCUAACGCAUUAAGCACUCCGCCUGGGGAGUACGACCGCAAGGUUGAAACUCAAAGGAAUUGACGGGGGC